RNAcentral lists this ribosomal RNA (253 nucleotides) under uncultured bacterium. RNAcentral describes it as "partial 16S ribosomal RNA". It matches the Rfam family "Bacterial small subunit ribosomal RNA", at positions 524 to 776 of the family's 1533-position model. The record is from RNAcentral.
GACAGAGGCCUCAAGCGUUAGGCGGAAUCACUGGGCUUAAAGCGUGUGUAGGCGGAUCGUUAAGUGUCUUGUGAAAUCCCACGGCUCACCCGUGGAACUGCUGGGCAUACUGGCGAUCUUGGGCCAACUAGGGGCAACUGGAACAAGCGGUGGAGCAGUGAAAUGCGUAGAUAUCGCUUGGAACGCCAAAGGUGAAAACAGGUUGCUGGGGUUGUGCCGACGCUGAGACACGAAAGCCAGGGGAGCAAACGGG